CUCCCCCAGGGCCUUGGAGUUCCAGGGUAAAGCUCAGCUCUGAGCUCCACUCCCUUAGUGUGGAGCUCUCUGAUCCUGAGCCAUCUCUGUUGAAGCUUCUUGAUAAUUCAUCCUCUUCUACUGAAACCAGGAGAACUCAGAGGUGGGGAAAGGGAGAGAUAGAAAUAUAUUGCCAGCACCGGUUUGGCUCAGUGGAUAGAGCGUCGGCCUGUGGACUGAGGGGUCCCAGGUUCGAUUCCGGUCAAAAGCAUGUACCUGGGUUGCGGACACAUCCCCGGCAGCACAUGUGCAGGAGGCAGCUGAUCAAUGUUUCUCUCUCAUCAAUGUUUCUAACUCUCUAUCCCUCUCCCUUCCUCUCUGUAAAAAAUCAAUAAAAUGCAUUUUAAAAAAAGAAA
Molecule: long non-coding RNA, 395 nt
Organism: Myotis daubentonii (Daubenton's bat)
Lineage: Eukaryota; Metazoa; Chordata; Mammalia; Chiroptera; Vespertilionidae
Source: RefSeq, a predicted model, not a curated record